AUAUAGAAGAAAUUUGCACAGACUGCCAGCUUCAUUAUGCUGCCGACAGCUUCCAGCAAAAGGAGGACGUUUGCAGCCAGAUAUUUCACCCGCUCCAAAAGCCUAGUGAUGGGGGAGCAGAGCCAGAGCCCUGGGCGGACGCCGUGCCCUCACAGGCUGGGCCCCGUGCUGAAGGCGGGCUGGCUGAAGAAGCAGAGGAGCAUCAUGAAGAACUGGCAGCAGCGCUGGUUUGUGCUGCGUGGGGAUCAGCUUUUCUACUACAAGGACAAAGAUGAGAUCAAGCCCCAGGUGAGAAGCGCAUGUCCGGUGUGCCGUGGGCAUCAUGGCAGGUCUCCACAAGAGGGAAGACCAUGCCCAGGAGAAGGGAGGAAGGCACAGAGCCACUGACUCCAUCACAGUGAUGUUUUGCCAGGAUUUCCAAAGUAAUUUUCAUUCUUAUCCCCCAUGUUCCUGGUAUCACAGCCUGUUUUACUGGAACAUGUCCACAACUUCUGCAAUGAAAAUGUUUCCUUAAAAUGUU
Molecule: small RNA, 520 nt
Filed under: Pan troglodytes (chimpanzee)
Lineage: Eukaryota; Metazoa; Chordata; Mammalia; Primates; Hominidae
Description: retained intron
Source: RNAcentral